AGACCCGAAACCCGGUGAUCUAGCCAUGGGCAGGUUGAAGGUUGGGUAACACUAACUGGAGGACCGAACCGACUAAUGUUGAAAAAUUAGCGGAUGACCUGUGGCUGGGGGUGAAAGGCCAAUCAAACCGGGAGAUAGCUGGUUCUCCCCGAAAGCUAUUUAGGUAGCGCCUCGUGAAUUCAUCUCCGGGGGUAGAGCACUGUUUCGGCUAGGGGGCCAUCCCGGCUUACCAACCCGAUGCAAACUGCGAAUACCGGAGAAUGUUAUCACGGGAGACACACGGCGGGUGCUAACGUCCGUCGUGAAGAGGGAAACAACCCAGACCGCCAGCUAAGGUCCCAAAGUCAUGGUUAAGUGGGAAACGAUGUGGGAAGGCCCAGACAGCCAGGAUGUUGGCUUAGAAGCAGCCAUCAUUUAAAGAAAGCGUAAUAGCUCACUGGUCGAGUCGGCCUGCGCGGAAGAUGUAACGGGGCUAAACCAUGCACCGAAGCUGCGGCAGCGAACGUAUCACCCAAGACAACUUUACGGAGUUGACGAUUGACGGAGCGAAGCGACGUCAAAGCGUUCAUUAAAGUCGAGUUGGCUUAGGGAUACGUUCGUUGGGUAGGGGAGCGUUCUGUAAGCCUGUGAAGGUGUGUCGUGAGGCAUGCUGGAGGUAUCAGAAGUGCGAAUGCUGACAUAAGUAACGAUAAAGCGGGUGAAAAGCCCGCUCGCCGGAAGACCAAGGGUUCCUGUCCAACGUUAAUCGGGGCAGGGUGAGUCGACCCCUAAGGCGAGGCCGAAAGGCGUAGUCGAUGGGAAACGGGUUAAUAUUCCCGUACUUGGUGUUACUGCGAAGGGGGGACGGAGAAGGCUAUGUUGGCCGGGCGACGGUUGUCCCGGUUUAAGCGUGUAGGUGUGUGUUCCAGGUAAAUCCGGUUCACUUUAACACUGAGGCGUGACGACGAGGCACUACGGUGCUGAAGCAACAAAUGCCCUGCUUCCAGGAAAAGCCUCUAAGCAUCAGGUAACACGAAAUCGUACCCCAAACCGACACAGGUGGUCAGGUAGAGAAUACCAAGGCGCUUGAGAGAACUCGGGUGAAGGAACUAGGCAAAAUGGUGCCGUAACUUCGGGAGAAGGCACGCUGACACGUAGGUGAAGUGAUUUACUCAUGGAGCUGAAGUCAGUCGAAGAUACCAGCUGGCUGCAACUGUUUAUUAAAAACACAGCACUGUGCAAACACGAAAGUGGACGUAUACGGUGUGACGCCUGCCCGGUGCCGGAAGGUUAAUUGAUGGGGUCAGCGUAAGCGAAGCUCCUGAUC
RNAcentral lists this ribosomal RNA (1306 nucleotides) under Salmonella enterica. RNAcentral's name for it is "partial 23S ribosomal RNA". It matches the Rfam family "Bacterial large subunit ribosomal RNA", at positions 711 to 1913 of the family's 2925-position model. Lineage: Bacteria; Pseudomonadati; Pseudomonadota; Gammaproteobacteria; Enterobacterales; Enterobacteriaceae. The record is from RNAcentral.